This 3732-nucleotide unclassified non-coding RNA is filed under the name Haliotis rubra (blacklip abalone). RNAcentral's name for it is "caltractin, transcript variant X1". Lineage: Eukaryota; Metazoa; Mollusca; Gastropoda; Lepetellida; Haliotidae. The record is from RNAcentral.
AAAGAAAUGGGCCAAUCAAAUAGCGAUCAAAACCUUACUUCGGUCCUUAUAUCCGGGAUACCAAGGCGGUCUGUUCGUCUCGAAGAUCAACAAAACAGAAGUCAUGGCAACAUACAAGAAGACAUCUUUGGCUGGUGGUGGCAGGAAGAAGGCUGGGCCCAAGCCGGAACUGACUGAGGAACAGAAGCAGGAGAUCAGAGAGGCGUUUGACCUGUUUGAUGCUGAUGGCUCCGGCACAAUAGAUGCCAAAGAGCUUAAGGUUGCAAUGAGAGCCUUAGGUUUUGAGCCCAAAAAGGAAGAAAUAAAGAAAAUGAUUGCUGAUAUUGACAAAGAAGGAACAGGUACGAUUGACUUCAAUGACUUCCUGACGCUAAUGACGCAGAAGAUGAGUGAGAAGGAUGCAAAGGAGGAGAUUCUCAAAGCCUUCCGUCUAUUUGAUGAUGAUGAGACAGGAAAAAUAUCUUUCAAAAACCUCAAACGUGUUGCCAAAGAAUUAGGAGAAAAUCUCACAGAUGAAGAACUGCAGGAAAUGAUUGAUGAGGCUGACAGGGAUGGUGAUGGUGAAAUCAAUCAAGAGGAAUUCUUAAGGAUAAUGAAGAAGACAAGCUUAUACUGAUGUGUCUAUGUACAUAAGACUGUAUAUAGGAGUCAUUCAGUGACACCCAAACCAGUGGGUGUCGUCUGGAAAGUGAGGCAGCCUGGUAUUAUUGACAGAUCUGGACAUUGGUCAUCUAGGGUGUGUGUCAAAAGUUACAAUAUCGUUUUUUCCUUGGACAAUCUUUAUGAUACAAGCAUUUGUGGAGAAGAGUCAUUUCUUAGAUUUCAGGGGAGAUAACUCAUUGCAAUUCAUCAGGAAUGUUGGAUACUGUACAAUCAGCCUUUCUAUUAUGCUCAGAUUUCUGUUAAAUUGGCAAAGGAUAGUAUUUAACAUAAAGUAUAUAAAUGUGGAAGUUGACAGGUUUUACAUUUGAUAUUACAGUACAUCUACAGUACAGUGACAUCAACUUUUCACACAUCCUAUUCUUAAAAUGGCCUUUCAUGAACUGCUGUAGAAAUGCAACGCUGGUGCACUUAUGCAAUACUUCUUUGCAACCUCAAUAUCAUUAUCGUCAAUACUUCACAUGUUUUCCAUCAUGUUACUCUGUAAUUUGUGAAUAUAUUCAGCUAAUAUUGUGGUGAUGAGUGUAUUUGUACUCAACUAUUGAAAUGAAGUGGUGCAUUGCCAGGUGAGAGCUGCUCUGUGUAUAAACUUUGUGCAAGCACUACUAUUGCCUCUCAGUAAUUUUGAGUAAAGUGAUGUGUUGAAUCGUGUUUGAUAAGGUUCACUAAACCAUAGCACUCCAAGUGUGUGCCUGAGGGUCUUGUCAAGGAGAGAGCUAGUGUGCAGGUAGCGUAUACGGAGAGCCCAUUGUCCGAGGUACUCAAUCUGGCUUGAGCCAGGCCAUUGCUUUAUAUGAUGGUUAAAAAUGACGAUUUCAUCACAAACAGCUGUAUGUAUUAAUAAAUUAAAGAAGAAUGUUUUGUAUACAGUCCUGUGAAAUACUGAUGAUGCCGCAACAACUUCCCAACAUCUAAAUUAAAUUUCUUCUGAUUCAAUUAUUUCAUCAAGCAAGGAGCAUGCUUAUCGGACUUAUUUUGCCCCAUGGUGAAAAAUGUAUUUUUUAGAAUAUUCAGCUGAUUCAAGUGUUUGGUAUUCAGAUAAAGCCAUUCAACUCCCAUUACAUUUGUGAAAUAUGUACUAAGAGUAAGACCUCAUCAGCUAUGCCAUGCUCCAUUUGUCUUUGUUCAGAGAGGAAAACUGCCAAAUUCAUUUUGAUGUUAGAAAUAUUGUACAUUGAAUAUCAUGUUGGUAGACUGUUAUUUCUAUGUCUACAAGUGUUGAACAUGAUGAAAAGUGUUGAAUAUGAUGAAAAAUGUUUGAAUUCUGUUUCCUUUUGUCCAUGUUCUUUAUGUAUUUAUUCAGUAUUAUCAAUGACAAGUGCUACACAUGGACUGGGUGUUGUGUAUGAUACCCUUGCUUGUCAACCUUAAGUUAAUUGAAACAAGAAAAAUAUGAAAUAGUAGCCAAUGUCAUUAUGUUUAUCACUCUAAAAAAUAAAUGCUUAUCAGAUGUUCAGAAGUAAAAAGAAUUACUUUUACAUUUAGUAGUCAUUCAAUUAACAUUCCUUUCUUUCUGAAUAUAUUUCCUUCACAUUGCCAGCCUCAUUACUUCAUGUUCGAAACAUUCCGCUACCAAGGGAGCAAAGAUAUUCUUUAUCAAUUGUGUAUUUUGUCUCCAUUUCUCAAGUCAUUACUGGCAAAUGACAGCAUUACUUCCAGUCCAUCUCAGUCAAAGUAGUUGUCAGGGUUACGGAUUGGCAGAUAUCCCUUUCUCCAAUUUUAGGAAACAGACCAUCUUUGUGUUAACUUACUGCUGGUGCAAAACCAUCUAAUAUACCUCCAGGGCUUGCAUUUUGAUGAAGUCACUAUACCCUGGAUCAAUUUCAGUAGUUCAGGAAAUCUCAAAUUACCUGCCCUUGAGUUUCAUAAAUAUUUCACGGACUAGUCAAAUGUGAAAGGAAGAAAGAAAUGGGUAAGGGAGGUAACUCAUAUUGCUAUGGUGUUAAUGUGACCCACCCAGUGUUGAGGCUUAUUUGUAACUAGUAUUUUGAUUAGAAUGUUAGAUUUAUUAGCAAAGCUGUUAAAAUCACUUGUCAAAAUCAGGGGCAGGUAAUUUGAGAUCACAAAAACCCCAGGAAUAGAUCAAGGGGUUAAUUGAGAGGAUGGUGCAACAUCUUUCCCCUCAUCUAUUCUAUAUUUGAGUGAGACCACUAUGCAUGCAGGACCAGAGUCAUUCUUCUUUUACAGGGAAGGGCGGUGAGGUAGCCUAGUGGUUAAAGCAUUUGCUCGUCACGCCGAAGACCCGGGUUCAAUUCCCAACAUGGGUAUAAUGUGUGAAGCCCAUUUCUGGUGUCUCCUGCCGUGAUAUUGCUGGAAUAUUGCUUAAAGCUGUGUAAAACUGAACUCACUCACUCACUCUUUUAUAGAGUCUGUCUGGCAUAGAUGUAAUGGUAUUAAGGAAUACUAUACUACUCACCUUUUGACAGGGAUAAUCAGAUGUCAUAUUUUUAUACACACUUGACAUAACUAUCGUAUCAUUGAGAGAUAUAAGUAUCCCUUAUCAAAAUUUGAGUAGUAUAUCCGUGUGUUAUGGCAAAUCAAUAUUUCUAGUUUCCAGCUUUGUAAUGGAUUUGUUUUAUUUCUCAAUUCCAACUAUACGAUAAAACUCUAGUGUUAAUAGUAAUGUGCAUGUGUUGGGUGAUAUCUUUGUCAGUGAUUUAAAAUGUAAUGUGUAAGCAUUUUCAAACAGCACUUUCUCAGCAGAUACAACUAGUCUUCCCAAAUACACUUUCCGUCACAUAAAGACAGCACACUGUGUUUCAGUAAUACAAGAACAGGCUCAUUUGUAGGAGACAGAAAUCCUUUAUUACACUCUGACAUUUAUGAUUAAUGUAAUUACUUUUGAAAGCCCAACUGUUGCUUAAUGAAGAGUGAACAGUUAGGAAACAGCAGGGCCCCUGUUUUCGAUAACCACUGUGUGCAUUAUUUCUUUUAUUACCCCAUGACUAUAGUCCAUCUGCCUUCAAGAGGUCAUAUAUUUAUUGGGUCACAUAUUCUUGUCUCAGACUGAAUGUAGACAUGUUGUACAAAGUGUUCAUGUUGCCUGUCAUAAUAAAUAAUAUUUUGUGUUCA